GAUAAUUAUUAUUCUGCUAAAGUGGUAUCAACAUAAGGCACUUAAGUAAGCAUCGCCCAACAUACUUGUCAUAUUUGCUUUAAAAUAUGAAGCAUAAAUUUGUAUUAAUGACAUCACUUAAAAUAUUGAGACAAAUUGUUAUGAAGCAUAAUAGAAACAAUGUUUUUGCUUUUGUACCAGAUCAGAUUCUAAUUUGGCUUCCUUAAACAAUGUGAAAUACAAUAUUGGAGUUCUAUGUAUCUGUUAACACCAAACAAAAAGAGCCAGCAUUCGGAGGUUCAAACUGAGUUAAAAGUAUAUGCACAUGCAUAUUCAUACACAUA
This 323-nucleotide long non-coding RNA is filed under the name Bos taurus (domestic cattle). Its description in RNAcentral is "long non-coding RNA NONBTAT021715". Lineage: Eukaryota; Metazoa; Chordata; Mammalia; Artiodactyla; Bovidae. The record is from RNAcentral.